CCGGCCACAGGCGAUGGGGCUCGCCUUCGACCGCCCGCCCGGGCUGACGGCUCCUACCGACAG
RNAcentral lists this non-coding RNA (63 nucleotides) under Pseudonocardia sp. RNAcentral's name for it is "Fluoride sequence". It matches the Rfam family "Fluoride riboswitch aptamer (crcB RNA motif)". Lineage: Bacteria; Bacillati; Actinomycetota; Actinomycetes; Pseudonocardiales; Pseudonocardiaceae. The record is from RNAcentral.